RNAcentral lists this ribosomal RNA (859 nucleotides) under Bacillus sp. (in: firmicutes). RNAcentral's name for it is "bacterial SSU rRNA". It matches the Rfam family "Bacterial small subunit ribosomal RNA", at positions 61 to 904 of the family's 1533-position model. The record is from RNAcentral. Lineage: Bacteria; Bacillati; Bacillota; Bacilli; Caryophanales; Bacillaceae.
GUCGAGCGGACAGAAGGGAGCUUGCUCCCGGAUGUUAGCGGCGGACGGGUGAGAAACACGUGGGUAACCUGCCUGUAAGACUGGGAUAACUCCGGGAAACCGGAGCUAAUACCGGAUAGUUCCUUGAACCGCAGGGUUCAAGGAUGAAAGACGGUUUCGGCUGUCACUUACAGAUGGACCCGCGGCGCAUAGCUAGUUGGUGAGGUAACGGCUCACCAAGGCGACGAUGCGUAGCCGACCUGAGAGGGUGAUCGGCCACACUGGGACUGAGACACGGCCCAGACUCCUACGGGAGGCAGCAGUAGGGAAUCUUCCGCAAUGGACGAAAGUCUGACGGAGCAACGCCGCGUGAGUGAUGAAGGUUUUCGGAUCGUAAAGCUCUGUUGUUAGGGAAGAACAAGUGCAAGAGUAACUGCUUGCACCUUGACGGUACCUAACCAGAAAGCCACGGCUAACUACGUGCCAGCAGCCGCGGUAAUACGUAGGUGGCAAGCGUUGUCCGGAAUUAUUGGGCGUAAAGGGCUCGCAGGCGGUUUCUUAAGUCUGAUGUGAAAGCCCCCGGCUCAACCGGGGAGGGUCAUUGGAAACUGGGAAACUUGAGUGCAGAAGAGGAGAGUGGAAUUCCACGUGUAGCGGUGAAAUGCGUAGAGAUGUGGAGGAACACCAGUGGCGAAGGCGACUCUCUGGUCUGUAACUGACGCUGAGGAGCGAAAGCGUGGGGAGCGAACAGGAUUAGAUACCCUGGUAGUCCACGCCGUAACGAUGAGUGCUAAGUGUUAGGGGGUUUCCGCCCCUUAGUGCUGCAGCUAACGCAUUAAGCACUCCGCCUGGGGAGUACGGUCGCAAGACUGAAACUCAA